AGCUGGUCUAAAGGUAGUGAGCUAUCUCAACUGAUAGUUCAGUCAGAUAUAGGUUGACCUCUUUGUUCUACUUUUUCUCCCUUCCCCCUUCUCACUGCUGCACUUUACUAGUUUAAA
This is an unclassified non-coding RNA of Otolemur garnettii (small-eared galago), 117 nucleotides long. It matches the Rfam family "Y RNA". From Rfam's summary of the family: Y RNAs are components of the Ro ribonucleoprotein particle (Ro RNP), in association with Ro60 and La proteins. The Y RNAs and Ro60 and La proteins are well conserved, but the function of the Ro RNP is not known. Lineage: Eukaryota; Metazoa; Chordata; Mammalia; Primates; Galagidae. The record is from Ensembl.